RNAcentral lists this ribosomal RNA (1416 nucleotides) under metagenome. RNAcentral's name for it is "bacterial SSU rRNA". It matches the Rfam family "Bacterial small subunit ribosomal RNA". The record is from RNAcentral.
GCUGACGAGUGGCGAACGGGUGAGUAAAGUAUCGGAACGUACCUUUCAGUGGGGGAUAACGUAGCGAAAGUUACGCUAAUACCGCAUAUUCUGUGAGCAGGAAAGCAGGGGAUCGCAAGACCUUGCGCUGAUUGAGCGGCCGAUAUCAGAUUAGCUAGUUGGUGAGGUAAAGGCUCACCAAGGCGACGAUCUGUAGCGGGUCUGAGAGGAUGAUCCGCCACACUGGAACUGAGACACGGUCCAGACUCCUACGGGAGGCAGCAGUGGGGAAUUUUGGACAAUGGGGGCAACCCUGAUCCAGCCAUGCCGCGUGAGUGAGGAAGGCCUUCGGGUUGUAAAGCUCUUUCGGCCGGGAAGAAAUCGUAUGGGUUAAUACCCUGUGCGGAUGACGGUACCGGCAUAAGAAGCACCGGCUAACUACGUGCCAGCAGCCGCGGUAAUACGUAGGGUGCGAGCGUUAAUCGGAAUUACUGGGCGUAAAGCGUGCGCAGGCGGUUUUGUAAGACAGGCGUGAAAUCCCCGGGCUCAACCUGGGAACUGCGCCUGUGACUGCAAGGCUAGAGUAUGGCAGAGGGGGGUGGAAUUCCACGUGUAGCAGUGAAAUGCGUAGAGAUGUGGAGGAACACCAAUGGCGAAGGCAGCCCCCUGGGCCAAUACUGACGCUCAUGCACGAAAGCGUGGGUAGCAAACAGGAUUAGAUACCCUGGUAGUCCACGCCCUAAACGAUGUCAACUAGGUGUUGGGUGGGUAAAACCAUUUAGUACCGGAGCUAACGCGUGAAGUUGACCGCCUGGGGAGUACGGCCGCAAGGUUAAAACUCAAAGGAAUUGACGGGGACCCGCACAAGCGGUGGAUGAUGUGGAUUAAUUCGAUGCAACGCGAAAAACCUUACCUACCCUUGACAUGUCCAGGAGCCUGAAGAGAUUUGGGUGUGCCCGAAAGGGAACUGGAACACAGGUGCUGCAUGGCUGUCGUCAGCUCGUGUCGUGAGAUGUUGGGUUAAGUCCCGCAACGAGCGCAACCCUUGUCGUUAAUUGCCGUCAUUUAGUUGGGCACUUUAACGAGACUGCCGGUGACAAACCGGAGGAAGGUGGGGAUGACGUCAAGUCCUCAUGGCCCUUAUGGGUAGGGCUUCACACGUCAUACAAUGGUCGGUACAAAGGGUUGCCAACCCGCGAGGGGGAGCCAAUCCCAGAAAGCCGAUCGUAGUCCGGAUCGCAGGCUGCAACUCGCCUGCGUGAAGUCGGAAUCGCUAGUAAUCGUGGAUCAGCAUGUCACGGUGAAUACGUUCCCGGGUCUUGUACACACCGCCCGUCACACCAUGGGAGCGGGUUCCGCCAGAAGUAGGUAGCCUAACCGCAAGGGGGGCGCUUACCACGGCGGGGUUCGUGACUGGGGUGAAGUCGUAACAAGGUA